Molecule: long non-coding RNA, 2924 nt
Filed under: Melopsittacus undulatus (budgerigar)
Lineage: Eukaryota; Metazoa; Chordata; Aves; Psittaciformes; Psittaculidae
Description: lncRNA (ENSMUNG00000019635.1)
Source: RNAcentral
CGCCAUCUCUAUAAAAGGCGAGCACCUGGUAAGCCGGGGCGUGGCGCCGGCGGCUCCUCCAUUGCGGUGAGUGGGGGGUCCCGUUUGCAUCCGGUUCUCCGUGUCCCGGAGCCAUCCCCGGCCCCUUCCCGAGAGCUCCCGGCGGCUCCAGCGGGCGCUGCUGCUCCGCAGAGCCGGGACCGACACCGGGGAGGGGCCCCGGGCUCCGGCACACGCGGCCGAGUGCUGGGAGCGGAGCCCGAGGGCUGAGCCUGGGUUGGGGCCGCGCUCGGAGCUGGGCAAUGGAGUCCUGAGAGUUGGAGUCUGGAAACCAAGCGGGGCCGGUUCGGGUUCAGAACCAGGGACCGGGGGCUGGGGGCUGGACCCGGGGUCACUAAAACCGGGUUUGGGGCUCGGCAAUGGAGACCAAGCCCCACGUGUUGGAGUCUGGAGCCCGGCUCACGGGGUCAGUUGCGGGGCUCAGAGAGAGCUCGAGCUGCCCAAAGCAGGUUCCGAGCUGGGUCGGGCUGGUAUCGGUUGGUGGCUGCUGAGCCAUUGCAUUGUGCAUCACUUGUGUUCAUUGGUUUUAACCUUCCCUUUUGUCCCCUUUAGCUUUAUAUUCUGUCCCCUUGUUACUUCCCUUAUCAUUAUUAGUAGUAGGACUUGUGUUAUCAUGUAUUUAAUUUAUAUUAUACAUUUUCUGUUGUAUAUUGUUAAGUUCUGGGCCCCUCACUACAAGGGAGACAUGAAGGGGACUUGGCUGGUGGGAAGGGCAGGAGCACAGCACAUUGCACUCUAAGCAUCAUCUUGUGCCUUUGAACCCUGCAGGUGCCCAAUGGGCUGGAGGCUGUGAGCAUGGAGAGCAAGGGCUGCCUGAGCAGCGGACGGUGAAGAGACAGAUGGGACAUCGUUGGAACGCAGGCCCAAGGAGAGGCCCCGUGCAGCUCUCUUCAGGGACCAUCCCGGGGUGCUCGACCUGUCCCUGCAAGAAGAACACCCAUCACCACCAAUCUCUUCAUGCGUCUGCCCGUUGGCCACCUUUCCUACCCACCACCAGCCCAACCUGCUUCCUCCCCACACAUCUUGGCCUUGUGGCACUCCUAGCCCCACACUGUGGCCAUGCUGCAUCCUUCUAUCUGUCCUGUAUCAUCUUCUGCUUCUCCACUGGUAUGUGGAGCAUGGGCAGACUGUGCCUGUUCUCUCCUCAGGGCCUUUGCUUCCCUGGCUUUUCCCAGCUGGCACCCACAUGCACACAGCUGUGCAGAUCCUUCCCAAAUAACAGCCUUCAUCCUGUGGGAUGGAAUAAACCUCCUUUCCACACACAGACUUCAAUGGCUGCCUCCUGCAUCUUCUUUGUCCUCCUCCUCCUAAGAACCCCCUCACACCAUGAGCACAAAACAUCACCUUGCACCUGGCAGUCCACACACCUGGAUGAUGCCAUCUCCCAUGUCAGCCUUUAGUGCUGAGCAAGAGUUGUCCAACUUCCAAGCACCUCUGAUGGAGCCAGUCUAAUAAAGCUGUGCUAACCCUGAGUCAAAAGUGCCACCUUUGCUACCCAAAUUAACACAAUUGGUUCCCAAAGUGCCACCCAUAGUACCAAGCCUGAUACCUACACUACCCAAAGUGCCGUUUACUGAUACCCAGCCUAACAGCUACAGUACCCCAAGUGCCACCUACAACACCCAACCUAACCCCUCUGGUUCCCAAAGUGCCACCCACAGCAGCCAUGCUAACACCAAUGAUAUCCAACCUAACACCACUUCAAGUGCCACCUACUCUACCCAGCCUGACACCUCCAAUGCCCAAUGUACCACCUCUGCUGCCCAACCUAACACCUGCGGUUCCCAAAGUGCCACCUACCACAGGAUCCAACCUGACAACUGUAAUACACAAAGUGCCACCCACAAUACCCAGCCUAACACUAUGAUACCCAACCUAACACCUAUGACACCCAAAGUAACACUGACACUACCCAAUCUAACACCUAUGACAGCCAACCUAAUGCCACCUCAAGUGCCACCUACUCUACCCAGCCUGACACCUCUGGUUCCCAAAGUGCCACCCUACAGGAUCCAACCUAACACCUGUAAUACCCAAAGUGACACCAGCACUACCCAAACUAACACCUUUGUUAUACCAUCUAACCCCUAUGCUUCCCAACCUGAAACCUGCAAUAGGCAAAUUGCACCUGCAGCUACCCAGCCUGACACCUACACUUCCCCUCCUGCCACUGCCUGCACCCCUUAACUACUGCCUGUAUCCCUGCCAAGAGGACAACCUGCAAAUACCCUACACUGUGUCCCCAGUGUGUCCUUACCUGCACGGGGCCUCUCCUUGGGCCUGCGUUCCAACGAUGUCCCAUCUGUCUCUUCACCGUCCGCUGCUCAGGCAGCCCUUGCUCUCCAUGCUCACGGCCUCCAGCCCAUUGGGCACCUGCAGGGUUCAAAGGCACAAGAUGAUGCUUAGAGUGCAAUGUGCUGUGCUCCUGCCCUUCCCACCAGCCAAGUCCCCUUCAUGUCUCCCUUGUAGUGAGGGGCCCAGAACUUAACAAUAUACAACAGAAAAUGCAUAAUAUAAAUUAAAUACAUGAUAACACAAGUCCUACUACUAAUAAUGAUAAGGGAAGUAACAAGGGGACAGAAUGUAAAGCUAAAGGGGACAAAAGGGAAGGUUAAAACCAAUGAACACAAGUGAUGCACAAUGCAAUGGCUCAGCAGCCACCAACCGAUACCAGCCCGACCCAAGCAGCGAUCGCUGCCUUCCAGGUAACUCCCCCCAGUUCCUAUCCUGGGCAUGACGUGCUGUGGGAUGGGAUGAUCCUUUGGCUCCUUUGGGACAGGUGUCCUGGCUCUGCUCCCUCCCAGCUUCCAGUGCCCCUCCUCACUGGCACAGCACAAGAGUCUGACAAGUCCUGGGAUCGGGCUAAGUACCACACAGCAAGAGCU